CCUACGGGUGGCAGCAGUGAGGAAUAUUGGUCAAUGGGCGAGAGCCUGAACCAGCCAAGUCGCGUGAAGGAUGACGGCCCUACGGGUUGUAAACUUCUUUUGUCGGGGAGCAAAAGACGCCACGCGUGGCGUUCCGAGAGUACCCGAAGAAAAAGCAUCGGCUAACUCCGUGCCAGCAGCCGCGGUAAUACGGAGGAUGCGAGCGUUAUCCGGAUUUAUUGGGUUUAAAGGGUGCGCAGGCGGAAGAUCAAGUCAGCGGUAAAAUUGAGAGGCUCAACCUCUUCGAGCCGUUGAAACUGGUGUUCUUGAGUGAGCGAGAAGUAUGCGGAAUGCGUGGUGUAGCGGUGAAAUGCAUAGAUAUCACGCAGAACUCCGAUUGCGAAGGCAGCAUACCGGCGCUCAACUGACGCUCAUGCACGAAAGUGUGGGUAUCGAACAGGAUUAGAUACCCGGGUAGUC
Molecule: ribosomal RNA, 459 nt
Filed under: uncultured bacterium
Lineage: Bacteria
Description: partial 16S ribosomal RNA
Rfam family: Bacterial small subunit ribosomal RNA
Source: RNAcentral